RNAcentral lists this ribosomal RNA (1364 nucleotides) under Rhodopseudomonas palustris. Its description in RNAcentral is "16S ribosomal RNA". It matches the Rfam family "Bacterial small subunit ribosomal RNA". Lineage: Bacteria; Pseudomonadati; Pseudomonadota; Alphaproteobacteria; Hyphomicrobiales; Nitrobacteraceae. The record is from RNAcentral.
GUCAGUGGCAGACGGGUGAGUAACGCGUGGGAACGUACCUUUUGGUUCGGAACAACACAGGGAAACUUGUGCUAAUACCGGAUAAGCCCUUACGGGGAAAGAUUUAUCGCCGAAAGAUCGGCCCGCGUCUGAUUAGCUAGUUGGUGAGGUAAUGGCUCACCAAGGCGACGAUCAGUAGCUGGUCUGAGAGGAUGAUCAGCCACAUUGGGACUGAGACACGGCCCAAACUCCUACGGGAGGCAGCAGUGGGGAAUAUUGGACAAUGGGGGAAACCCUGAUCCAGCCAUGCCGCGUGAGUGAUGAAGGCCCUAGGGUUGUAAAGCUCUUUUGUGCGGGAAGAUAAUGACGGUACCGCAAGAAUAAGCCCCGGCUAACUUCGUGCCAGCAGCCGCGGUAAUACGAAGGGGGCUAGCGUUGCUCGGAAUCACUGGGCGUAAAGGGUGCGUAGGCGGGUUUCUAAGUCAGAGGUGAAAGCCUGGAGCUCAACUCCAGAACUGCCUUUGAUACUGGAAGUCUUGAGUAUGGCAGAGGUGAGUGGAACUGCGAGUGUAGAGGUGAAAUUCGUAGAUAUUCGCAAGAACACCAGUGGCGAASGCGGCUCACUGGGCCAUUACUGACGCUGAGGCACGAAAGCGUGGGGAGCAAACAGGAUUAGAUACCCUGGUAGUCYACGCCGUAAACGAUGAAUGCCAGCCGUUAGUGGGUUUACUCACUAGUGGCGCAGCUAACGCUUUAAGCAUUCCGCCUGGGGAGUACGGUCGCAAGAUUAAAACUCAAAGGAAUUGACGSGGGCCCCGCACAAGCGGUGGAGCAUGUGGUUUAAUUCGACGCAACGCGCAGAACCUUACCAGCCCUUGACAUGUCCAGGACCGGUCGCAGAGACGUGACCUUCUCUUCGGAGCCUGGAGCACAGGUGCUGCAUGGCUGUCGUCAGCUCGUGUCGUGAGAUGUUGGGUUAAGUCCCGCAACGAGCGCAACCCCCGUCCUUAGUUGCUACCAUUUAGUUGAGCACUCUAAGGAGACUGCCGGUGAUAAGCCGCGAGGAAGGUGGGGAUGACGUCAAGUCCUCAUGGCCCUUACGGGCUGGGCUACACACGUGCUACAAUGGCGGUGACAAUGGGAAGCUAAGGGGCGACCCUUCGCAAAUCUCAAAAAGCCGUCUCAGUUCGGAUUGGGCUCUGCAACUCGAGCCCAUGAAGUUGGAAUCGCUAGUAAUCGUGGAUCAGCAUGCCACGGUGAAUACGUUCCCGGGCCUUGUACACACCGCCCGUCACACCAUGGGAGUUGGCUUUACCUGAAGACGGUGCGCUAACCAGCAAUGGAGGCAGCCGGCCACGGUAGGGUCAGCGACUGGGGUGAAGUCG